GUCUGGGUGGCUCAGUUGGAUAAGCAUCUGACUUUGACUCAGGUCACAUGAUCUCAUGGUUCGUGGGUUCAAGCCCCUCAUCGGACU
Molecule: transfer RNA, 87 nt
Filed under: Felis catus (domestic cat)
Lineage: Eukaryota; Metazoa; Chordata; Mammalia; Carnivora; Felidae
Rfam family: tRNA
About the family: Transfer RNA (tRNA) molecules are approximately 80 nucleotides in length. Their secondary structure includes four short double-helical elements and three loops (D, anti-codon, and T loops).
Source: Rfam by way of RNAcentral